RNAcentral lists this long non-coding RNA (576 nucleotides) under Equus caballus (horse). RNAcentral's name for it is "lncRNA (ENSECAG00000055652.1)". Lineage: Eukaryota; Metazoa; Chordata; Mammalia; Perissodactyla; Equidae. The record is from RNAcentral.
GAUCUCUCAGGGGCAAGCAUGUUUCUCUUGGAUAAGAGUGGGGUGAAAGGCACUAUCGAAGUCUGAAUGCUGGUUGCAGAAGAUAAUUUGAAGAAUGGGAACAUUAAGCCAUACUCAUUCAACCUACUCUUUAAGAGUUUGACAGGAGGGCCUAUACCUGCAUAUGCUCCCACCUCCAUCCCAAGGGGAAAAAGAUGUCAAUGAUGCGGACUUUCAGAGUUACAAGAGAAUUCAUGGAUUCCCUCCUCUGCCUCUUCAAGAAUCUGAUCCAUGGCCUACUUGACAGAUGACCUUCCUGCCUCUGCUUGAAUAUCUCCAGGGAUGGGAAGCUCACCACUAGUUGAGCCAGUUACCGACACAUGGCUUUGAAGAGCUAUAUGACUCCCUAUAAUUCUAACAGACUACUGGGACUGGGUUUUAGGAUUGUCUCUCCCAUUAGAGAACUGGUAACUUUGGAACUGGAACUUUUAAGAUCAGUGUAGACUUGGAUGGGGUUCAAGAUUCUAGUGCCUGCCACCAGUCUGCUCAUUCUCUUGAGAUAAGCUCAAAUACAUCAGUAAUAAAGUAAUGAUUCUG